RNAcentral lists this ribosomal RNA (497 nucleotides) under uncultured bacterium. Its description in RNAcentral is "partial 16S ribosomal RNA". It matches the Rfam family "Bacterial small subunit ribosomal RNA", at positions 28 to 507 of the family's 1533-position model. The record is from RNAcentral.
GAUGAACGCUGGCGGCGUGCCUAAUACAUGCAAGUCGAGCGAACAGAUAAGGAGCUUGCUCCUUUGACGUUAGCGGCGGACGGGUGAGUAACACGUGGGUAACCUACCUAUAAGACUGGGAUAACUUCGGGAAACCGGAGCUAAUACCGGAUAACAUUUGGAACCGCAUGGUUCUAAAGUGAAAGAUGGUUUUGCUAUCACUUAUAGAUGGACCCGCGCCGUAUUAGCUAGUUGGUAAGGUAACGGCUUACCAAGGCGACGAUACGUAGCCGACCUGAGAGGUGGAUCGGCCACACUGGAACUGAGACACGGUCCAGACUCCUACGGGAGGCAGCAGUAGGGAAUCUUCCGCAAUGGGCGAAAGCCUGACGGAGCAACGCCGCGUGAGUGAUGAAGGGUUUCGGCUCGUAAAACUCUGUUAUUAGGGAAGAACAAACGUGUAAGUAACUGUGCACGUCUUGACGGUACCUAAUCAGAAAGCCACGGCUAACUACGUG